Marmota monax (woodchuck) is the source of this 771-nucleotide long non-coding RNA. RefSeq lists it as uncharacterized. NCBI's taxonomy places the organism in Eukaryota, Metazoa, Chordata, Mammalia, Rodentia, Sciuridae. The transcript has 2 exons. The record is from RefSeq and is a predicted model, not a curated record.
CCUCUGUCCUUGGGGCAUAAUCCAUGCUAGUCAUGUGUACUGGGUUUGUACACACUAGGUGCUUACUCAAUGUUUGCUGAACAGAAGAAUAUCAUUUGCUUCUCUUUUUGCUUAUAUCCAGUUCUCUCAUAUUCUAUACCUCUAUCCCAAUGCUAAUCUUUCCUUACCUUUAACUUUAGCAAAGCAGCUUUUUUUCAAUGCCUAUCAGCUGACAAUUCUAAAGAUUCAACCUAUAAAGCCUAAGAGAUAGGCACAGAGGAAAGAUAAGCACCCCAACCCCCACAGCCAGAGCAUGGUGCCUUCUACACCAACCACAGGUGUCCCAGAGUACUGUGUAUAUAGGCCCAGCAAGAAAGUUGCUAAGUCCUUGUUGCUGCAAUAUUUUCCAUCAAGGUCUGGGCCAGGCAGACAAAAUUGUGCUUAUGGACUUCAGCAAACUCAGCACAAGGAAGGCCAGUGGGCAUGCUGAAGAACUGCCUCUCCAACAUCUUGUCCUCUCCUACAGACUCAGUGACACCAAUAAGUAGAUUCUUGAAGUCCUGUGCAUUUGACAUCUAAAUAACUUGGUCUCACUCUCUGGUUUUCUGUAUCUAAAUUUCCCCUCCCUUUGGGGCAUGAGAUUUAAAAGAAGGCUCUUGAGCAGAGCAAGCAACAGUCUCGUCUUUGAUUUAUGCUAUUACUGGAACUGUAGUCCUUGAAAGCAAUUCCGUCACUACUGUAAUGAGGACGGAGCUUCCGUUAACUAAUAAAUCCUUCAGGAGUGUGUUUCGA